RNAcentral lists this microRNA (23 nucleotides) under Tribolium castaneum (red flour beetle). RNAcentral's name for it is "Tca-Mir-2-P5c_3p (mature (guide))". Lineage: Eukaryota; Metazoa; Arthropoda; Insecta; Coleoptera; Tenebrionidae. The record is from RNAcentral.
UAUCACAGCCAUUAGUUACUUCA